AUUCCAAUCGAACUCGGAGAUAGCUGGUUCUCCCCGAAAUAGCUUUAGGGCUAGCGUUGCAUUAGAUUACCGGAGGUAGAGCACUGAAUUGGCUAGGGGGCGAUGAGCUUACUGAACCUUAUCAAACUUCGAAUGCCGGAUAAUUGAUGUGCAGCAGUCAGACAGUGUGAGAUAAGUUUCAUUGUCGAGAGGGAAACAGCCCAGACCCACAGCUAAGGUCCCAAAUAUAUGCUAAGUGGAAAACGAUGUGGGGUUGCGAAAACAACCAGGACGUUGGCUUAGAGGCAGCCACUCAUUGAAAGAGUGCGUAAUAGCUCACUGGUCGAGUGACCCUGCGCGGAAAAUAUAACGGGGCUAAGCAUAUAACCGAAGCUUGGGAUGUCUUUUAGACAUGGUAGGGGAGCGUCGUAUACGGGGUGAAGUGCGAGCGGAAGCACGUGUGGACUGUAUACGAGUGAGAAUGCCGGAAUGAGUAGCGAGAAUUAUGUGGGAAUCAUAAUGGCCGAAAAUCUAAGGUUUCUUGGGGAAGGUUCGUCCGCCCAAGGUAAGUCGGGAGCUAAGGCGAGGCCUGACGGCGUAGUCGAUGCACACACGGUUGAAAUUCCGUGACCACCGAAAGAUUUAAGCGAGCUGACACAUGGAGAUAGCCGGACCCCGGCGUUGGUCGACCGGGGCGAAAGGGACCGAACAUCAGUAGGGAAGCCGGCGAUGCUCUGUGGCGAGAAAAGGCUCGAGGUAUAUCUGAGGUGCCCGUACCGCAAACCGACACAGGUAGAUGAGGAGAGAAUCCUAAGGCCAGCGGGAGAAGGGUUGUUAAGGAACUCGGCAAAUUGACCCCGUAACUUCGGGAAAAGGGGAGCCUGCUACGGCAGGCCGCAGAGAAUAGGCCCAAGCGACUGUUUACCAAAAACACAGGUCUCUGCUAAAUCGAAAGAUGACGUAUAGGGGCUGACGCCUGCCCGGUGCCGGAAGGUUAAGAGGAGGGCUUAGCGCAAGCGAAGGUCUGAAUUGAAGCCCCGGUAAACGGCGGCCGUAACUAUAACGGUCCUAAGGUAGCGAAAUUCCUUGUCAGGUAAGUUCUGACCCGCACGAAUGGCGUAACGAUUUGGGCACUGUCUCAACAGCCCGCCCGGCGAAAUUGUUGUACUGGUGAAGAAGCCAGUUACCCGCAACUAGACGGAAAGACCCCAUGGAGCUUUACUGCAGCUUAAUACUGAAGAUUGGUAAUGCAUGUACAGGAUAGGUGGGAGCCUGAGAAACAGGGGCGUCAGCUUCUGCGGAGGCAGCCUUGGAAUACCACCCUUGUAUUGCUGGUUUUCUAACCUGCGGCCGUGAAUCCGGUCGGGGGACACUGUUAGGCGGGCAGUUUGACUGGGGCGGUCGCCUCCAAAAGAGUAACGGAGGCGCUCAAAGGUUGGCUCAGCACGGACGGAAAUCGUGCAAAGAGUGCAAACGCAGAAGCCAACUUGACUGCGAGACCGACGGGUCGAGCAGGUACGAAAGUAGGAGUUAGUGAUCCGGUGGUAUGUGAGUGGAAAUGCCAUCGCUCAACGGAUAAAA
This 1560-nucleotide ribosomal RNA is filed under the name human gut metagenome. Its description in RNAcentral is "bacterial LSU rRNA". It matches the Rfam family "Bacterial large subunit ribosomal RNA", at positions 826 to 2461 of the family's 2925-position model. The record is from RNAcentral.